RNAcentral lists this non-coding RNA (232 nucleotides) under Macrophomina phaseolina MS6. RNAcentral's name for it is "Eukaryotic small subunit ribosomal RNA". It matches the Rfam family "Eukaryotic small subunit ribosomal RNA", at positions 738 to 971 of the family's 1831-position model. The record is from Rfam by way of RNAcentral. Lineage: Eukaryota; Fungi; Ascomycota; Dothideomycetes; Botryosphaeriales; Botryosphaeriaceae.
GGGAACCAGGACUUUUACUUUGAAAAAAUUAGAGUGUUCAAAGCAGGCCUUUGCUCGAAUACAUUAGCAUGGAAUAAUAGAAUAGGACGUGCGGUCCUAUUUUGUUGGUUUCUAGGACCGCCGUAAUGAUUAAUAGGGAUAGUCGGGGGCAUCAGUAUUCAAUUGUCAGAGGUGAAAUUCUUGGAUUUAUUGAAGACUAACUACUGCGAAAGCAUUUGCCAAGGAUGUUUUC